Molecule: ribosomal RNA, 970 nt
Filed under: uncultured bacterium
Lineage: Bacteria
Description: bacterial SSU rRNA
Rfam family: Bacterial small subunit ribosomal RNA
Source: RNAcentral
AGAGUUUGAUCCUGGCUCAGGAUGAACGCUAGCGGCAGGCUUAAUACAUGCAAGACGAACGGUAAGCAGUGUAGCAAUACAUUGCCAAGAGUGUCGUACGGGUGCGUAACACGUAUGCAACCUACCUUUUACAGGAGUAUAGCUCGGUGAAAACCGAAUUAACCCUCCAUAAUAUCAUUGGAUGGCAUCAUUUGACGAUUAAAACUACGGUGGUAAAAGAUGGGCAUGCGAUUGAUUAGUUAGUUGGCAGUGUAACGGACUACCAAGACGAUGAUCAAUAGGGGACCUGAGAGGGUGAUCCCCCACACUGGCACUGAGAUACGGGCCAGACUCCUACGGGAGGCAGCAGUAGGGAAUAUUGGACAAUGGGUGAGAGCCUGAUCCAGCCAUGCCGCGUGCAGGAAGAAGGCGUUAUGCGUUGUAAACUGCUUUUGCCAGGGGAUAAAAAAGCUUUGCGAAGCAAAUUGAAGGUACCUGGUGAAUAAGCCACGGCUAACUACGUGCCAGCAGCCGCGGUAAUACGUAGGUGGCAAGCGUUGUCCGGAUUUAUUGGGUUUAAAGGGUGCGUAGGCGGCCCUGUAAGUCAGUGCUGAAAUAUCCCGGCUUAACCGGGAGGGUGGCAUUGAUACUGCAGGGCUUGAGUACAGAUGAAGUAGGCGGAAUUGACGGUGUAGCGGUGAAAUGCAUAGAUAUCGUCAAGAACACCGAUAGCGAAGGCAGCUUGCUAAGCUGUAACUGACGCUGAGGCACGAAAGUGUGGGGAUCAAACAGGAUUAGAUACCCUGGUAGUCCACACUGUAAACGUUGAUGACUCGAUGUUGGCGAUACACAGCCAGCGUCCAAGAGCAAUCGUUAAGUCAUCCACCUGGGGAGUACGCCGGCAACGGUGAAACUCAAAGGAAUUGACGGGGGUCCGCACAAGCGGUGGGAGCAUGGUGGUUUAAUUCGAUGAUACGCGAAGGAACCCUUA